GAACUAUGAUGAGUCUAUCCCGAACCUGAACUGUGAUGACACGGCUUUAUGGAUCUGACUGCUGAGUU
This is a small nucleolar RNA of Bufo bufo (common toad), 68 nucleotides long. RefSeq annotates it as small nucleolar RNA SNORD50. The transcript has a single exon. Lineage: Eukaryota; Metazoa; Chordata; Amphibia; Anura; Bufonidae. The record is from RefSeq and is a predicted model, not a curated record.